This 693-nucleotide long non-coding RNA is filed under the name Olea europaea (common olive). RNAcentral's name for it is "long non-coding RNA (OEUR_LNC013320)". Lineage: Eukaryota; Viridiplantae; Streptophyta; Magnoliopsida; Lamiales; Oleaceae. The record is from RNAcentral.
AUAUUCAAUUGGUGAUCAGGCAAUCAAAUAAUAAAAUUAAGCAUGCAAGAUUAAUAAAAAAUUGCAAGAAUUCAACUAAGCCACGUGUUUCAAAUUAAAAAUAAAUAAUAAAAGAUUUAAUCUUCAUCCAAUACAUGAGAAGACUUAGCCUAGCAUAAUGUUGGAAUUAAAUAAAGAAAGUUUAGACGACAUCACCGAGAAAUUGACGAAACUCGAUUAAUUCCACAAAUUUUCUCAGCUUUGCACGUGUAUGUUUGUAUUUCUACUGCAACCACCAGCUUCUAUAUAUGCAUUUAUAUUUCUUCAAUUCAACUCUCCCGUUGGCGUGUAUAUCAUAUAUAUAAUUCAGCUACCACGUGGAAUAAAUAUUUUAUUUCCACCACAACAGGCUUUCAAUGUGUAUAUAAAUCUAUGUUUUUCUCCAACAGCAAUCGGUUUUUUCUUCUCCCCAAAAAGCAGCUGCCCAAUUGUUUUCGUUUUUCAAUUUGUGGACUGCUCUUUGUGUUCUUUGUAGAUGUAUAAUCUUCCCAAGCAGUCGCCUUUUCUAUGGGUUUUUCUCUGAUUUUUUUUUUUUUUUGGUUUUCCGUGUAUAUGUUGUGUAUAUAUUCUUUCUUCAAAAGCAAAAGCAGCCUUUCAAUUGUUUUAUUUUCAGCCGCCAUUCUUCUCUUUUUUUCCUUCCAUUUUUGUUGAAUG